This 458-nucleotide ribosomal RNA is filed under the name uncultured bacterium. RNAcentral describes it as "partial 16S ribosomal RNA". It matches the Rfam family "Bacterial small subunit ribosomal RNA", at positions 338 to 795 of the family's 1533-position model. The record is from RNAcentral.
CCUACGGGAGGCUGCAGUGAGGAAUAUUGGUCAAUGGGCGAGAGCCUGAACCAGCCAAGUCGCGUGAGUGAGUACUGCCCUAUGGGUUGUAAACCUCUUUUGUCGGGGAGCAAAAGCCGGACGUGUCCGGCUGUGAGAGUACCCGAAGAAAAAGCAUCGGCUAACUCCGUGCCAGCAGCCGCGGUAAUACGGAGGAUGCGAGCGUUAUCCGGAUUUAUUGGGUUUAAAGGGUGCGCAGGCGGAUUUUUAAGUCAGCGGUAAAAUCGUGGGGCUCAACCCCAUCCAGCCGUUGAAACUGGGGAUCUAGAGUGUGCGAGAGGUAUGCGGAAUGCGUGGUGUAGCGGUGAAAUGCAUAGAUAUCACGCAGAACCCCGAUUGCGAAGGCAGCAUACCGGUGCACAACUGACGCUCAGGCACGAAAGCGUGGGUAUCGAACAGGAUUAGAUACCCCAGUAGUC